GGAAGAAAGACUUAUAUGGUUGCUUCCUCAAAAAAGCCAUAGAUAAGGAGCAUAAAAAAGAAAGACGUGUAACCCUCAUCGUUGAGAGUGAAUAUCAAGGGCUCAGAUCCCUUGUUGAGAAGGAAGACACGAUUGUUGCUUCUUGGGAGCCAUUGAUGAGGAACACUAUUGAAAGAAGAAGAUUGAAGGAGAAUGAGGCAAG
RNAcentral lists this long non-coding RNA (202 nucleotides) under Elaeis guineensis (African oil palm). RNAcentral's name for it is "long non-coding RNA (EGUI_LNC078222)". Lineage: Eukaryota; Viridiplantae; Streptophyta; Magnoliopsida; Arecales; Arecaceae. The record is from RNAcentral.